GGAUUGUGGCUCAGUGGCAAAGCCCUUGCCUUAUAAAUAUGAGACCCUGGGUUCGAUCCUCAGCACCA
This 68-nucleotide transfer RNA is filed under the name Marmota monax (woodchuck). RNAcentral describes it as "tRNA.Ile". Lineage: Eukaryota; Metazoa; Chordata; Mammalia; Rodentia; Sciuridae. The record is from RNAcentral.